UAAUACAGAGGGGGCAAGCGUUGUCCGGAGUUACUGGGCGUAAAGCGCACGUAGGCGGUCCGGCAAGUGGUGUGUGAAACCAAUCAGCUUAACUGAUUGACGCCAUGCCAAACUGCAGGACUCGAGUCAUGGAGAGGUAGUUCGAAUUGCUGGUGUAGUGGUGAAAUGCGUAGAUAUCAGCAGGAAGACCAAGGGAGAAAUCAGACUACUGGCCAUGAACUGACGCUCAGGUGCGAAAGCGUGGGAGCGAACUGGAUUAGAUACCCAGGUAGUCCACGCCGUAAACGAUGUAUGCUCGGUAUUUGGGCCUGUUAAGGGCUUGGGUACCUUAGGUAACCCGGUAAGCAUACCGCCUGGGAAGUACGAACGCAAGUUUAAAACUCAAAGGAAUUGACGGGGCCCCGCACAAGCAGCGGAGCGUGUGGUUUAAUUCGAUGCAACACGAAGAACCUUACCUGGGUUUGACAUGGACCUGCACGGCCAAGAGAUUGGUCAGCUUACGAAGGUGGUCCAC
Molecule: ribosomal RNA, 514 nt
Filed under: uncultured Bellilinea sp.
Lineage: Bacteria; Bacillati; Chloroflexota; Anaerolineae; Anaerolineales; Anaerolineaceae
Description: bacterial SSU rRNA
Rfam family: Bacterial small subunit ribosomal RNA
Source: RNAcentral